CUCAAUAUUCAGUGAGUGUGGAGAGACCAUGUCCAAUGGAAACAGUCACUUUCACCUGCACUGCUCCUGGGGAUUCUUUGAGACGGGAACCAUCAGAUGUUUCUCGCAUCACUAUCCGUCCUACAACCUCUGGUCUUAAUGUACCACUAAUGCCUCAACCAGGUUACACUGUGACACUGAUUGCAUUCAAUGACACUACAUUAACAUCUACUCUGUCAAGAACAGCAGAGAAUGGGAUCACUGUGUCCUGUGUGGGGGGGUUUGUGGACUCACUGCUUACUCAAACCACAAUAGGAUCUUCAACAAUCCAAUUAGUUGAUCCACCAGGACUAUCUUCUAUCCUAAUUAGACACUCCACUCUGAGUAGCUCAACCAAUGAAGUUAGUGUAUCUAUGCAGUGGGACCCUCCUACUGAGACUGGUGGUAGAGAUGACCUCACCUACACAGUGACCAUCUCACCUCUAGCCCAGCUCUCUGCUACUGUCCUCACAUCCACCUCUGUCACUGUGACUGCUCAAUACAAUGUGGACUACACUGUCAGUGUUGUGGCUACCAACUGUGCUGGGAACAGUACAACUGCUGGGUACAACUUUAGGAUGGUAACUCGACAGAUUCUUUUAAAGUUUAUAAACCAUUUUCCAUACAAAUAAUUAAUGUUUCGUUCAGAUGGCUGUCCUGUGUUGACCAACCCCAUGAAUGGAGCCUUUGAACCAGUCUCCAGCAGAUUGCCAGGAUCCAUAGUAACCAUCCAGUGUGGCGAUGGGUAUGUAUCUGCUGUUACGAUGGUGACAUGUGAGGGUACACUGAUGUGGAGUCCAGACCCUGAGGCUAUUGAGUGUACAGCACUAACUACACCUACUCCCACAACUCUCCCCCCUCCAAUCAACUGCAAGGCUUCACUACCACCACCACGGAAUGGCACCAUCAGUGAUCAUUCAGUACCAGCUAUUCCCGGUACACAAGUGACAUUCCAGUGUGACGAUGAACUGUUCCCUGAGGGCAUAAUGACUGCCACCUGUCUCGCUACAGGAGAGUGGGAUAGGAACACGGGGGAGAUCGUCU
This is a long non-coding RNA of Halichondria panicea, 1062 nucleotides long. RefSeq lists it as uncharacterized. The transcript has 3 exons. The record is from RefSeq and is a predicted model, not a curated record. Lineage: Eukaryota; Metazoa; Porifera; Demospongiae; Suberitida; Halichondriidae.